Molecule: ribosomal RNA, 492 nt
Filed under: uncultured bacterium
Lineage: Bacteria
Description: partial 16S ribosomal RNA
Rfam family: Bacterial small subunit ribosomal RNA
Source: RNAcentral
AGUGAACGCUGGCGGUAGGCCUAACACAUGCAAGUCGAACGGCAGCACAGUAAGAGCUUGCUCUUACGGGUGGCGAGUGGCGGACGGGUGAGGAAUACAUCGGAAUCUACUUUUUCGUGGGGGAUAACGUAGGGAAACUUACGCUAAUACCGCAUACGACCUACGGGUGAAAGCAGGGGAUCUUCGGACCUUGCGCGAUUGAAUGAGCCGAUGUCGGAUUAGCUAGUUGGCGGGGUAAAGGCCCACCAAGGCGACGAUCCGUAGCUGGUCUGAGAGGAUGAUCCGCCACAAUGGAACUGAGACACGGUCCAGAAUCCUACGGGAGGCAGCAGUGGGGAAUAUUGGAAAAUGGGCGCAAGCCUGAUCCAGCCAUACCGCGUGGGUGAAGAAGGCCUUCGGGUUGUAAAGCCCUUUUGUUGGGAAAGAAAAGCAGCAGGUUAAUACCCCGCUGUUCUGACGGUACCCAAAGAAUAAGCACCGGCUAACUUCGUG